Molecule: long non-coding RNA, 2690 nt
Filed under: Homo sapiens (human)
Lineage: Eukaryota; Metazoa; Chordata; Mammalia; Primates; Hominidae
Description: HSALNT0143059
Source: RNAcentral
AUGACAGCUAUUGUUUUGACCAGGUUUUCCCCCAAACCCCAUGUAAUUUUUUCCCAAACACCUGGGACUGUGUGAAGAGAACUGUAGAAGACUAAAGUCCAUGGAAUGGGUGUGACAGGAUGGCAUAUGGAGGAAGAAGCCUCUAGAAGGUUGAAACUUUGAAUGGAUUAAAGGAGAUCAGUGAGAGUACAUAUAAGGAAUUAAGGAGCUCCCACAUCAGUGCUGUUUGAACAGUGGAGUGAACUACUUUGCAAGGAAAUGAGGUUCCAGUUCCUGGAGGCAUGCAAGCAGAGGCCUGAGAACCACUGUUAAAGGAUGUUGUAGAGAAGACAAGGCAUCAGAAGGGGGGACUGGCCCAGGGGAAUUCAAGGAUCCUUUGAGACCCUGAGAUACAUUAGGAUGGAAAGAAUGGACUCUGAAAGCACCCAGAUGUGAACAGGACCCCUAACUGCUUGGGCAAGUCCAGUACCUCCCUGAUCCUCAGUUUCCUCCUGUGUAUAAUGGAAAGAACUACUCUACAGGAUUGUUAGAAUAAAAUGAGGUAAUGUAGCAAAUCAUCUAAGACAGCAUCUGGGAUAUAGAAAGUGCUAAAUAAGUGCCCUUCUUGGAGGUAGCAUUUUCCCCCUUUGAUUUGCCAUCAUCCUCUGAUGAGAACAUCAUCCUAAAUCUCCCAGGAAUCUCUGGAGAACAUACACAAGGAGGACUUCCAAUAAUAGUUUUCACUAUUCUGUUUUCAAAGGGUCGUUCCCAAGCCAGGGACCUAAAGCUAGUACCUUCCCAACCCCGAAUCAGCAUUUAUGGUCCCCAGGUGCCCCCUGCCAUGAGCAGUUCAAAGAGGCAGAAUCUGAUGUUCCUGGGAACGUGGCCAUUGGGCUCUGGAGGCUGCUUGAAGCAACUAAAUGACUUCCAUCCAUAAAUAGGGAGUUGCUAAUAAUAAAAGACAGUAUCUGCCGAGGGAGACAUAAGGUUCCUUUCGGGAGCUGACAUCCUCGUCAUGGGUAGCCUCAGCGUUCUGAGUUCUCCUGUAGGGAAGCCAGCGCCUGAUGCAUUGGGGCAUGGCUGAAGACGCUGUCAUGGGCUGGGGAAGAGGACGAGAUGCCCCACCUUGUAGAGACAGGCACCCCUGCCCUUCUGAAGCCAAGAGCUCUGGACCCUGCUGCCCAUUGGAGUCGCCUAAGGAAGUUUAUAAAAAUACUGAUAUCUCGAACCACCUUCAGAGAUCUUUAAUUACUCUACGGCAGACCCAGUGUUGAGAAGCAGUGGUCUAGGCGCAGCUCAGGCCUGCUGAAGAGUAAGCCAAAUAAACUUCCAGGAAUGCCCGAAGGAUUUACAACCAGCGCGGCCCUCUUGGGUGGGCUGAUGUUAGUAUCACAAACACACAAGGUUGUUUGCCUGAAACUGUGAGUCAGUCAUCAAGGGCACACCCAGCAUGACUCCCAGCAUGAAAAGGUUUCUUGAUGAAAAUUGAUUUCUUCUCCACAGCCUUGUGACAUGGAGCAGUAAGAGGAGGCAUGGCUCACCAGCCCAGAAUGAUGGUGCCACUGGCAGAUUGGGAGGUAGAAAAUGAACCCGUGACACAGGGUUCAGCUUGGGCACCUGCCUGAAUUCAUUGUUAGCUCUAGAAUUUGGGGUUGGAUACUUAACUCAGAUGCAUAUUUCUUCCCAUGUGACACAAGGACAUUUCUUACCCAAUUCACAGGGUGAUAUUAAAAUAGAAAACAAUGUUUGUCAAGUGUAAAGCGUGCUACAAAGUGUCACAAUAUUCAUAACAAGGAAAUGUGAGUUUACAAUUUUUUUACACCUGUAUAAAGCACUCACUAUGUGCCAGGAGCAUCAUUUUAUACACAUUAUCUCCUAGGAUCCCCACAGCAUACCACGAGGAAGAUGAUGUUAUGCUUGCUGACAAAUAAGGGGAUUUCAGGGGUUUCCAGACAAUGUAUUGGGAUCAACCAUCAAAUCAGGAAGACUUACCUGGUAAGCCACUAAGGCAGCUGCCACCACAUCCCCAACCACCUCUACUCUGCAGAGAAUUCCAGCAUGAGAACCCUCCCACUUCACAAAAAGUAUAGGGCUUUCUGGUUUAGGAUCAUAAUAUCCUCCCAGGGUCAUCCCCAAGAUAAGGCAAGAGGUACACAGGAACCCUCAUACCAACCUGGUCUCCUCAGGGUGAAAGCUACUGCGACUCCGAUAUCUGUAUCCAAACAAUAAGAGCAUUAAAUGAGGCACAUGUUAGAUUUGCUCAGCACAUCUGUUCAGGUGGCAUCACUCAGUGUUUAACCACAAGGCCCGCACUGCAGGGAGGCAGCCAGCCUGGCACAAGAAAGAGGGGCUGGACUGCUUGAGUGUGGGUCUCAUGUAGGCCACUUUCUAACUGUGUCACUGGAGCUGGCCCUGGGACUUCUCUGAGCUCCAGGCUCCUCUUCUGUUCCUCUUGUUCAGGAAGUGGCCAUAAGGUUAGUUCUGCUUUUUCUCACUGGGAUGUUACAUAGAUGACCUUAUUGAUCCCUCAUGCUGAACUAUUAAAAGCUGUACACGUAGCUAAUGUAAUGUCAUGUCCACCGCUCGGCAAAGCCAGGAUUAGAAAAUUGCUCACAGCCAGAGUUGCCACGUGUUCUCCCACUUGUGUCACCAGAUUCCCCUUCUGGAAUCACCUUCUCCACCUUCACUGCAGAAUGGAGGCAGCUCAGGCC